GGUUGUAUAGUGUAGUGGUUAUCACCUUCGGUUUUGAUCCGGAUGACCCCGGUUCGUAACCCGGGUACGACCU
RNAcentral lists this transfer RNA (73 nucleotides) under Komagataella phaffii GS115. RNAcentral describes it as "tRNA-Gln (TTG) (tRNA-Gln-TTG-2-1)". It matches the Rfam family "tRNA". From Rfam's summary of the family: Transfer RNA (tRNA) molecules are approximately 80 nucleotides in length. Their secondary structure includes four short double-helical elements and three loops (D, anti-codon, and T loops). Further hydrogen bonds mediate the characteristic L-shaped molecular structure. tRNAs have two regions of fundamental functional importance: the anti-codon, which is responsible for specific mRNA codon recognition, and the 3' end, to which the tRNAs corresponding amino acid is attached (by aminoacyl-tRNA synthetases). tRNAs cope with the degeneracy of the genetic code in two manners: having more than one tRNA (with a specific anti-codon) for a particular amino acid; and 'wobble' base-pairing, i.e. permitting non-standard base-pairing at the 3rd anti-codon position. Lineage: Eukaryota; Fungi; Ascomycota; Pichiomycetes; Pichiales; Pichiaceae. The record is from Rfam by way of RNAcentral.